AUUGAACGCUGGCGGCAGGCCUAACACAUGCAAGUCGAACGGUAGCACAGAGAGCUUGCUCUCGGGUGACGAGUGGCGGACGGGUGAGUAACGUCUGGGAAACUGCCCGAUGGAGGGGGAUAACUACUGGAAGCGGUAGCUAAUACCGCAUAACGUCGCAAGACCAAAGUGGGGGACCUUCGGGCCUCACACCAUCGGAUGUGCCCAGAUGGGAUUAGCUAGUAGGUGGGGUAAUGGCUCACCUAGGCGACGAUCCCUAGCUGGUCUGAGAGGAUGACCAGCCACGCUGGAACUGAGACACGGUCCAGACUCCUACGGGAGGCAGCAGUGGGGAAUAUUGCACAAUGGGCGCAAGCCUGAUGCAGCCAUGCCGCGUGUAUGAAGAAGGCCUUCGGGUUGUAAAGUACUUUCAGCGGGGAGGAAGGCGGUGAAGUUAAUAGCUUCACCGAUUGACGUUACCCGCAGAAGAAGCACCGGCUAACUCCGUGCCAGCAGCCGCCGUAA
This 504-nucleotide ribosomal RNA is filed under the name uncultured bacterium. RNAcentral describes it as "partial 16S ribosomal RNA". It matches the Rfam family "Bacterial small subunit ribosomal RNA", at positions 29 to 523 of the family's 1533-position model. The record is from RNAcentral.